This is a long non-coding RNA of Pseudomyrmex gracilis, 2457 nucleotides long. RefSeq lists it as uncharacterized. The transcript is spliced from 3 exons. The record is from RefSeq and is a predicted model, not a curated record. NCBI's taxonomy places the organism in Eukaryota, Metazoa, Arthropoda, Insecta, Hymenoptera, Formicidae.
GAGGCGCAUUUGUCGGACGAAAUGUUCGCUUCGUCGCGUCGAGACGGUGGCGACGACGACGACGACGACGACGAAGACGGGGUACGAAGAGAAGAGCGUAACGGAGAGACAGAAAUAACCGGAAACGGACUUCGAGAAGGCAGAAGAAGAAAAUGUCCAUUAAAAAAAAGCCACGUCAAGGUCCUCAGGCAGAUUCGCGACGCGGCUUAAGUCGUGUCACACACCACCUGUCGCGCGACCAAGGCAGGUUUCCAGCCGGAGAAAUGAAUAUUUGCGAUCUCCGAUGUCCGAUAAAACACCUCGUGGUUCGAUCGUGCUCACGUCCUCCCAGGAAUCUCUCUCGGAUCUCAUUGUUUGUGGGCAGCAGGGCAGAAAGCGGCGCUUCCGGUUUCAGGUUGAGUUGCACGACGAACGGUCAGACGAACGAACGGACGAACGGACAGGCCUGGUUGCAUCCUGGCCUCCCCAGCGCCCUGCGGAAAAUUGUCGUACACAAGCAACGGAAAGUGGAUAAGUCGACCCACGGAACCGGAAGUCGCCGUGGGAUCGCCCGCGUUGGAGGCUUGAAAACACAUCAUCGUGCUACCUGGGAACCGCCGAUUAGCUACACGCGCGCGUAUAUUUUUCGCCUGUCUCGUGUGCGUUAUGCGCCUGUACGUAUGUGUGUGUGUGUGUGUGUGUGUGCACGCGCGCGCAAAAAACAGUUGUCACGACAUUUACACACGCGCGUACAUACAUACAUACACACACACACACACACACAUAUGAGCACACGCGUGACAAAUGCCAGAGAGCACGCGACACACAAGCGUUUAAGCGGCAGAUAAACCUCGAGAUUUCUUACAACUAAGCAGAAAUUUAUUUAAUCGUGAGAAAAUAAAAAAAAUGAUCGCUAUUCAGCAAAUCCAUUGAAAAGCGUCUUGUAACUCUGAGUAAAAAGUUCCUGGGAAUGGAGAUUGCUCGAAUCAUUACGUUAUUGCUAUGUGUUUCAACGUUUUCGCACAGACACAUGUAAGCAGGAAAUAAAAGGAUUUUAUCUGUACACGUACGUCACGUGCACGUACGAUGUAUGUACACUUUGACAUUAAACAUCACCGCAAGGUAGGUUGAUGACUCAUGCCGAUCAUUGUGCCGCUGUGGAAAAUUGUUAGCUCCGUAACCAUGUAUCGAGAAAAAGCAUAUGAGGCGAAGCCUACAAACUCUCUUUGCGACACACGUCGCUUCUUCGAACGGUCGACAUAAUGAAAGUGGUCGAGAAGACGUCAAAAUCUGAGGUCAAAAUCUAAUGAGACGCGAUUAAUCAGCGCCUCGCGACAUUCAGCAAAUUGGGCGCUACUUAGACGGGACGUUUGGCAAAUAUAUGUAAUCGCGAAAUGAACAAUGAGCACGAAAUGAAUGAGGCAAUUUUGCGAUAACGUGUUUUGCGCUGACAUUCAUCUUACGGGUUUCUAGGUUGCCGUCACGAAUUUGAUUCACAUCCAAAAAUCGUGGGCGACGCUGACGUCACACUGAGACCACCGAUUUCCCGACUCCGCAUCCUUGAAGAAUAGAUACGGGCACUUCUCUCUCUUUCUCUCUCUCUUUCUCUCUCUCUCUCUGGCGGUCCCACAUCGACGUUUUACGACAUCUUGCUCGUCGCGGAAUCGCGUGAUGUUCGAGAUAUGUAUUGCGGAGCCAGAAGAAGCAUUGUCUGUAUAUGCACGGUAGAAACAACGAUGAUGACGAUGUCGAGUUUACAUUUAGACGGUAUUUUAAAGUGUAGUGCCACGUGUUAUUGCCGAUGUGGUAAAAUAUUGUCUUCUAAUUGAAAUUUACGAGUCACGUAGCGUAACAUCUGACUGUUCACAACAAGAUGCGACUCGCGAUUCAACUCACUAAUGAGGAUUCUUUAUCCGACGCAAUUGAUAAAUAAAUCAAUUGUUCAGCUCGAUAAACUUUUUAGAGAGAAGGUAAAGAAAUACAAACAUGCGUUCUCGACAUUUAUUGCUUCACAAAUUAGAAGAAGAGUUAGAAAUAUUUACGAUGGACAGAACAAAUGUCGUAGCUGAGGUAAAAAACAAACUGUAAAUUAUAAAACCAUCUUCCUGUACUUAAGUGAUCAUUGUCUUAGUUUAAAUCACACUUGUGUAUUUUUACGAAACGUCGAUUAAGUUGAACCGAGUUUUUUGAUAGCCAAACCGUAUCUCUAAUGUGUAUGUAUUGUUUUGCGAGUUAUCGAUCUUCGACCGUCGCCGUCAUCGCUAAUAUUGACUUAACGUUGAAAAUCAGAGCUUCGCAACAAAUAUAUCGAUCGCGACAGCGGCGGAUUCGGCGGACGGGUUAGUUUCGCGUCCACAAAUUGACAUUAAAAGCGUGUCUGUCUGGCGAACCAAUUUAUUUCUCGAGAUAACGUAAACAUCGUCACUAGCUGAUGUAUAACCGCAGCCAUUCAAUAUUGAUGCUCCUGUUCGAAUUUUA